RNAcentral lists this unclassified non-coding RNA (319 nucleotides) under Hevea brasiliensis (rubber tree). Lineage: Eukaryota; Viridiplantae; Streptophyta; Magnoliopsida; Malpighiales; Euphorbiaceae. The record is from RNAcentral.
GGAGUUCUUCAGGUACAGUUGUUCCACCAGCUUCAGUGGACAAACAUGUACAAUCCUCGGAUGUUGGACCACCAAAUGCUUCUAAGACGAUAGAAGAAAACAACAGUCAUGAACAUAUUAUUGAGGUCAAUGGUACUAGCUGUGAUGACAAGGCAUCUUCAAAAUCAUCUAAUGCUGAUAAGUCAUUAAGUACUGAGUCUGAGCAAUCCACUGCUCUUAGUGAUGAAGCCAAGGAAUUACCUAGUCCUUCAAGGCUAGACCCAAACAUUUCUGUUGCAGAUGUCAUGUCUUCUAGCGUUGAAGAUGAGCAUCCUGCUGA